GAAUCAAUAUGCUGUUGUGGAGGUGGAGGGAUGAUUAACAAAACAAAAUCAGUCCUCCUGGCAAACUGGGAAAAUCUCCUCACUCAUGCAGUUUAGGAUAUUCCACACUUUUUCUUAGCAAUUUCUUUCUAGGCUCGCCUAAAUAUAAACUAAGCUUUAAUAAAGAAAGCUUAAAAAGUAACAAUGAGAAAAACUAAACGUUUUAAAUACCUUGAUGUUACAGAUAUCGCAAAAGCUUUGAUGUGUGAUAGCCAAUCAGGGGGUUAGCUGCCCCGCCUAAAUCUGUUUCCCCUAACAAGCCUGCCUGCCCCCUGGGCAAAAAUCCUGGUUACGCCUGUGGAAACUUCUCGAUAACUUCAUACGUGGUUGGGUGGGGAAUGACCCACAUAGGCACAAAGAAUAUAAGGAAUUUGGUGUCUGGCAAUGCCAAAUCUGCAGAUAAAUCAGUGCCUCCUGUUUUAGGUUCUUUACCAUUGUUCCAAAGGUGGUGUGGUCAGUCUGGAUCAGUAUGGAAAAUCAAGAUAGUCUGUUAAGUGCUUGUGUGACCUAUAUUUGGUUCAGCUCUCUGAACAACUAGAUUCAAUUGCAACCCCUUUGUAAAAUGUGACUUGACUUUUUAAUUUUUAUUAUUUUCAACUAAUUCACAUUACAUGUUAAUUGCCAUUCACCUUCAUUAUUGUACAUAACACGAAUAUAUUCUGCAAAUUCCCUACAUCGAACCCUGCAACCAACCUCCCCUUAUACCCAAAUGCCCGUGUGACUUCCUUCACCCACAUGCGUGAACCCAACUUAAUAAAAACCCUCUAACAUGGUGUUCAUUUUUAAUCCUUACGAUAGUCCUUCAUCUAUUAAAAUCAGGGGGGGGGGGAGAGAGGAAAACAACUUCUUAACUUAAUGAGUUCAGUCUAUACUUACCCAGAGAUUUCUAAUAGAAUGAUUUUGUACAAUAUAUUUUCCGACACGAUUUCCAUUCUUUAAUUUUUAUUUUAAUUGCAAUCUGAUUGAUGCAAUUUUGAUUGCAAUCUGAUUGAUUGCAUCUUGGCUAGUUCAAUAUAUUCGGGAAGAAAUGAGGAAGUAGACAGAUUUAGAAUCUGUUUGGGUAAUGUCUGCAGGAGGGGAAACUGUUCUUUUUGUAUUCUGCUAACUUGCAAAAUGAUGUAAUCUCGCUCUGCACAUGCUCUUGUACCCGUGUCUGGAAGUUGUUUGUGACACACUUAUAAAAGUGAGCCCCAAAUAGCAAUUGCCAUCAGGAAACUGACAUCCUGGCCAGUCUGCCACUACUGGAUCAGAUGCCCUGCUUGCCUGUUGGGAGAUCAGCAUGUUUUGCAGCUUUAGGGCUUCUGUAUGGAUCAGGUCCUUUUCCACCAACAGUUAGCUCUCUUUGCUACUGUUUUGAGUGAGGUGUUUGAGCUCCAAGUGGAUGCAGGCUUUUCACUGUAGACUGGGUGGGGUGGCAUCUGCAACACUUCAGCCCUGGUAGUCAUUAUUGGAAAUUGAGGAGGAAAAUUGGCAAGAGGGCCUUGGAUAUCUGCAAUGAUCUUCUGCAAGGGCAGUCUCUUAUGUGCAGUGUCACCAUCCUGGUCUGCUGAAGAAACAGCUUUCACCUCUGUCCCUAGCCUGCAGGAGAUAAUCAGUGCAGCAAGUCACUUCAGCAAGGUUGGGGGGGUGUCAUUGUGUCUGAUGAUAACCACAGCAAAGAGGGAGAGAAAAGGGAUGCAAGACAUUUUGUCUUCUGGAUGGAUUUCUGGCUGGAGAAGUUGAACACCGUGUCCAGGGAUGCCCAGGAGCAAGGCAAGGAUUUGAGGCUUGUGCUCCUGGCUUCAAAUUCCGGGGUGGAGGUCCGCUGGUUGUGCAUUCUUCACGAGCUUCCCAGAUGGGGCUCAGGGAUCUCUUGUCUGGGAGAGGUCUGGAGGUGAUGGGUGAGGGGAUCCAUGGAGAACGUAAGGCGUUAAGUCCAGGGUGGCCAUUUUGCCUGUUGGGAGAUCAGCGUGUUCUGCAGAAGGGAUUGGCAGACCAUUAAAUGCAUGGCUCUUUUCGGAUAAGCAGCAGGAACUACACAGGGAAAAACUUGGAUGCCGUUUAACCAAUUUUCAAGUUUUCUCAACCCUGGGGGACUUAAACUUGUGUUUACCAAAACCAUGCUUCCUUUCGGGUUUUUCAUGGGACUCAUCUAGCAGGAACAGCUUGAAAUUUUUGAAGACAAGUGGUUACCCAGGAUAAUGUCCUUGGGUCUAUUAGUAGAGAUUUUAACAUCCUCCACCAGGGCCCCAUCUUUACACUCCUAGGUCCCCCACAACCUCUGCCUAUGGGAAUUGGCCCUCCUAUUCCAAGUCCAUAAAGGAAGACCAGGAACCCCUUCCCCCUGGCCCCAGUAACAAUCCAUAGACUCAUCACUAUCAGAAUCAGAUCUGAAUCUGAAUUCCUGAACUUUUUGCUCUUGCUGGAAUCUUUCUUAUGAUGGCGCUUCCUGAGUGCUAUUGCAGCCCCUGGAAAUGGAAGCAAUGCCGCCAGAUGCCGCCCAGCAGUAGCAUUGAUAGGAGGGGGAGAAACUGGCCUUUCUGCGCCUCUAGUAAUCCUUCGGCUCGUGCGCCGAGCCUGCGUCACCCCAACUUGUGGUGGAUUCUCAUUACUACCCCUGUGGCGCAAGCGCGAUGUCACAGUGAGCUUUGUAUUGUGGGGCCGGGAUGCAGGGUUGGAUAGGUGUGAGUCGCUGAAUAGGGCCUGAGAGGUAGAAGGCAUCUCAUCCCUGUCAUAACUGGCCAAAGACAUACUAGAACAACUGGCUCCAGUGUCGGGAAUACAGUCGGGGGUAGAUUGAGGGUCAGAGACUUGCAAGGCCUUCAUCCCUUGGCCUAAACCAUUGCAUCAUUGUAUCAAAUUCAUUUAAAAAACUUGGUAAUGCGUGUGGAUUCCUGGCCAUACCCGCCAAAGUUGUACCUAACUGCCCCACUGCCUGCCCCACCAGUGAAGCACCCUUGUCUGCCUGUGCCAAUUGGGAUCAGGUAAUGGGAGCGCAACGAGAAAACAGCUUGGAAAAGUUUUGCCGCAAAUGCUGGGCAAAAUAUUCUGUAUCAGCUGUCAUAUUUCUAGUCGGAUUUGGGGGUAUGCGCAACGCCAGCCAGCAAAUAGCUUCCUAACGUGGAAAGUGUCACAGGAGUCUGGCUGCUACAAACAAUUACUGAAAUAAGAGUGCAGACUUAUGAAGGCUCAUGAUCUUAAGGGCCAGGCCUUUUUGUUUCAGAUAAACCAAAUACUGUUUUUCAAGACAUUAAAUUCCUUAGCAUAAUGCCCAUAGUUGGAGCAAAACCUGGCUCUGACCCUUUUGAAAUAAGACUAUGCUUUUGUGUAAGCCCUCAGUCUGGAGGGUGCAAGGGCUCUCAAUACUCCCUGCAUCACUUGGCUUGUGCAAUCUUUCUUUUAAAAAUGAUAACUGUCAGUAUCAAGUGCACUCUCAUCAUUUACUGGAAUAAUCAAAACAUGUUGCUUUAGCACUCCAAAUCUCAAACAGUACUUCAAGGUUUGCACUGACAAUCUUCGACACAUCAUGGUCUGUAUGAAGUGGCAACUAAGUGGGAAAAUUGUUCCAUUGUGACCUAACUCUCUGGCCAUGAUCACCCUGGAGGCAAGAAAUGCAUCUAUUGUGUGGUCAUUUAUCCAGUUUCAUCCUCUCAGUGUGUCUGUGUCAUAAUCAUACACAGAAAUGGUUGUAGACAUGAGUGUGGUGAAGGUACAGUUGUGCCAUGGGGGAACUGAUGUACAAAUCAGUGAUUUGCCCAAACGCUUCUCACUUUGUGUUAAGAAUAUGGGGCUACUAUAUGUCAUAUUUUCUUUUAUUGCUUCGCAUGCUGUGAAUUUCCAAUUUUCCCUCCAAAGCUUCUCCCACUGUGUUACUUAAAUGUUAUUUACCCAGAUCCAUAGCCCAUUUAAUCAUCCUUGAUUUGUUCAUCCUUAAUUUCCCAUUCUAAUAAUAAUCCAUACAUUUUGGAAAUUACCUUAACAUUACUUGUUAUUUUUAUCUAAUAGUGAGAGUUCUGUCGCAAAUCCUUUGUUUUUCUUGUCUUCGUUAAAUUUACCAUAUAACUAGUGGUAUUGAAUCCACCCUGCCAGGUGAUCCUUUAUUUCUUUGUAAUCCUUUAAUUUUAAUUUAUUAACCCUUUCCUCUAGCAAACUGUAUGUAGCCCAGUUUGUUUGCAUAUUUUUCUUUUUAAUCGUUAUGCUUCAAUGGGAGACAGCCACCAAGGUACUUUGAGUUCUAAAAGUUCUUUAUAUUUCCCCCAUAGUUUAUAUAAUGAUUUUCUUAUAAUAUGGUUAAGAAAACCCCUGUUUACCUUCACUUUUUCAUACCCUAGGUGUGUGUGCCAGCCAAAACGAUUAUUGAACCCGACUAGGUCCAAUAAAUCUCCAUUGUUUAGUGUUAGCCAUUCUCUCAACCACAUGAAACAAGCUUCAUCAAAAUAUAAAUUUAAAUCCGGUAACGACAAUCGGCCUACUUUUACUGUCUCUUAAUACUUUAUCUUUAAUUCAUGGUGUUUUGUAUUGCCAAAUAAAUUUUGUUAAAUCUUUUUUCCAUUGCUUAAAACAUAGCUUUCAUCUUUCUUAGGCUGCAGAAGUUCUCCCCUUUGUACAAGAUCCAUGAUUUGUGAUGGAUCACAAGCUAUAUGAGGAAAGACUAUGUUCUGGUGAUCUUGAGUGCCGGAUAAACUAAGGCUGCAAAUGAAGGUUUCCUGUGUUACAUAGUCCACGAAAAGUUUCUCCAGUAAAGUUUUUGCAUUGCAUAUAUGGAUAACACCAUUGCUUCAAUCAUCAUUUCUUUCCAUUGUGAAAGUUUUUUUAGAGCUACAUGAAAACUCAAUACACUUUUUUCAUUACAGUAUAUAUGUUCAGUCUCUUUGAAAUCCAGGCCCCAGCAUGAGUUGCUAUUGCUUGGUGCAGGUCUUCAUUAAAGUAGUCCAAGAACACUUUGCUCCACCUUCUACUGAGUUUAUUUAAUUUGAAUGUGUAGUCUAUGCUCAGAAUUUGACCUCAGAAGAUAAAAGUCAGCAAGGUAUACCUUGGUCUCUUCUGAACUGGCCCCAUGUUUUUUCAACCAAAACACGAUCUCUGCGGAUGUGAUUCCAGCAUUACCAUUCUGUGGGUCGAGCAAAAACAUUAUCCAAAGCCUUUUCAAUUCCUUUUUCUCUGUCAGACACUGAGACAACUUUAUCUGAAUUGAGCAAAGGACACUGCUUUGAAAGGGUUUCCAAAAAUAUCCUGUGAUUGUUCUCUCGCCUGCUGUCAUGUAUCAUGAACAUUACAGGAACCAGUGGUGAUUCAGUGAAAAGCACAUUUUGAAAUAACAAAAUAGAUAGGUAGUAGUCUCCCAACUUGUGUUGUAGCAAUUGGUUAGGCCAGUCAAACGACCACGCAGCAAUCAGAGAAAUAAAGCAAAAAUUUUUUAAUUGUUUGCCGGCAGCAAGCAAUGGCACGGAGGAAUAAGUUUCAAAGUCCAGCCCUUCCCAACAGGGAAGGCUUCCCUUUACACAUUCUUUAAUGAGGUUUUUAUCCAAUCAAAAGUUACAGCAUUGCACAUACUCGGAUACAAUAGAUUCUGCCUUCCAUGUCCCUAUUUGUUAAUCCUUAUCAGCCUAUCUGUGUGUCUCUGGGUAGUGGGUGUCUGAGUGUAUGUACUGGAUAUGGGGGCCUGGCGGAGAUCAACAAAAUGGCUUCCUUGCUUAACAUUUUUAACUGUCAAAAUGGCUUCCCUGAGCACAUAGCCACAGUGUCUCAUGAAAAAAGCAUAGGUAUAUCUGUCUUCAGUGAUACUACUUUCCCAAUUUCAGAUGAAAUAACCUGUAGGCCCAUAACAACAAUCACUGUAGGACACAGAUAUGGAUGAAGCCUUCAAGGAGUUCUGUAAAUUCCAAUAUACUGUACUGUCUUUAUAUAUUUCUUAUAAUUGUUGAUAGUGCAACCAAUUCUGAUAGUGAUCUUUUAUCUCGUCAUAGUCUCUUAAUUUCCAUUUUGCACCGUGAUCCUUUAACAGAUCAGUAUAUGCAAGCCAUUUUCCUUUCUUUCCAAGUGGUUUGAGCAGUAACGCUUCACGUGGUGAGAGCCACCAAGGAGUUUGUUGUUCUAACAAGUCUUUGUAUCUCUCCCAUACUCUCAUUAAUGACUUCCUAAUUAUAUGGUUGUAGAAACUUCUAUGAACCUUCCCUUUCCCAUACCAUAAAUAUGCACGCCAGCCGAAUCUGUUAACAUACCUUUCUAAUUCUAAUGCUGCUUGUUUUUCCAACCUCAUCCAGUCCCUGAUCCAUAUCAGGCAAGCAGAUUCAUAAUACAAUUUAAGGUCUGGGAGGGCAAACCUGCCUCUAUCUUUUACAUCUAUAAGUAUUUACAUCCAUAAGUAUUUAAUAUUUUAUCCUUGGCCUUUUGCCCCCCCCCCCCCCGAUAAAUUUUGAAAUCUCUUUCUGCCAUUUUUUAAAAACAUUCAUCUUUCAGGAAGACUGGGAUUGAUUGCAAAAGGAAUAACAUUUUUGGUAACACAUUCAUUUUAAUCGCCACUAUUUUUCCUAACAAUGAGAGUUUCAUUCUACUCCAUAUUUCUAAGUAUUUUUUUACCUCAAGCCAGAUUUUUUCAUAAUUACUUUUAUAUAAAUUUUUAUUUCUUGAUGUCAACCAUAUCCCUAAAUACUUAACAACGUUUUUAUGGACUUCAAUCUCAAUGUUUUGUUCUAACUCCUUUUUUUCUUCAAGUUUUUAAGUAAUAAUUUUUGUUCCUAUUUAAUUUUAAAUCCUGCCACUUCCCCAAAUUUCUGAAUCUUUUCUAUUAUUUUAGGAAGUGAAGGUUUUGGCUCUAACACUGUUAUCACUAAGUCAUCUGCAUAUGCUUUUAAUUUAAACUCACUUUCCCCAGUUUUAACACCUUUGAUCUCUUUAUCCGCUCUUCUGGCAAGUACGUUUCUGGCAAGUACUUCCAGUACCAGUAUUUCCAGUACCAUCUAGUACCAGGAUGAACAAUAAUGGUGAUAGUGGACAUCCUUGUCUAGUUCCUCUUUGAAUCUUACAAUCGCCCGUUAUCACCUGAUUUAUAAUUAAUUUUGCUUUUGUUCUGAAUAGAUUGCUGCUAUUCCUUUUAAAAAUUUAGAACCACAUUUAAUUUGUUCUAAUAACUUUGUCAUGAAUUUCCAAGACACGUUGUCAAAGGCUUUUUCAGCAUCUAUAAACAUCAUUGGCGCUUUCUUUUCGUUUUUGGACUCUAGGUUUUCUAUUUAGAAUAUUCCUUAUAUUCUCCUUUAUUUGUCUACCUGGUAGGAACCCUGCCUGAUCUUGAUGUACAUACUCGUUGAGUAUAUUUUUAAAUCUGUUAUCUAAUAAUGUUUGCAAACAAUUUGUAAUCAUUUAACAAAGAAAUAGGCCGCUCCCGCUUUCCUAGUUGUUGCUCCCUCCUUGCCUGACAUCUCUUACCAGUUGGUUCCCAGUGUUGUAUGAGUUGUUCAAGGUCACACCUGCAGGUUCUGAGUCUGUUCAACUCUUCCCCCUCCCAGAUUUUUUUUCUAGUUCCCCUUUCUCUUUUUUCUGCCUUCUCCCUCCCCACCACAAUACAUCAUACAAUUAUAUAGCAAAAGAAGAAAAAAGGCAGAAAAAACCAAUAAAUCAAAGUAUGAAAUGUGCAAUUUAAAGAAUGAAAAAUAAAAAAGGAAAGUAAUGAAGUAAUUUAAAAAUCCAAAAAGCAGAGGGAAGAGAAAAGAUAAAAAUGUUAGGCCAAGUCAUUUUCAAGUUCAUGUCUUUAAAGGAAGAAAAAUGAAAUUGUUCAUUGAAUUGUACUUGUCUCCUUAUAAAUGUCUCAAACAGUGGUGACUUGCAGUAGUUCCAAAAGUUAUAUUUCCAUUUUAUUAUUUGUAAUCCCAUGGCAUUUAUGUUGUAGUUCAGUUCACAGAAGUGUUUGGGUUUCAGUUAGCAAAUCUUUCUUGGUGAGCUCUUUCAGUCUUUGGGGUAUCAAAGAUGCUUUAGAAACUGUUCCAGGCUCUUUCCACUUUCUGGGGUUACCCCCCCAGAAGAGUCCCCUGGCAAGCUUCCUUCCUUUCCCCUUUUACUCUUCAGCUCCACCAAUUUUAAAAGACUGUUCAGAUUCCUCCAGCUGUCAGUAGCUUUUUAACUUUGUAUUCCAGUAGGUAACUGAAUACAGUUAAUGUAUAAAUCCGUUAGAAUGCAACCAUCCACCAAGUCACGAGUUAAACGUUGCAACUCUCCUUUGCUGUAAGCAAUGUCUGAGUCCCAUUCACAAAAAAAGUUCCCUUUGCAGAGCUCGUCCACAGAAAUCGGAAGCUGACUUCCUGUUUUGCUUCCGUUUUGCCAAAUUAAAUUUUUAGACUCUUAAUUCAAAGUUCAAAAUGUUCUAUUUGACUUUUACCUCUAAUUGGAAGAUCUACUGCUUCUGGUGACGGAUCGUUGCUUCGGCAGGAGGCUGCGUUGGUGCCGAGAGCGAACUUGAGCCUCUUCCCCUUCCCUCCUGUGCGCACAGCAGCAGCCGGGAGACGUUUGCAGGGGUGUGUGUGUGAGAUUUUCCGCUCCGCUGGAGCCCUCGGGUCCCCACUCUCCUGGGGGGGGGGUUAGGGGGUGCGCUGAUCUCUAGCGCUGCCAUCCAAUCCUCUCUGCCGACUCUGUGUCACGGACGACACUUAGCACACCGCCAUUGUCCUCCUUAGCCUUGACCAGUAGCAGGAAGGCAUCUCGGCACAUCCCACGUCUUCCAUGACCCUCAAAAUGGCCCAGUGAACGAUGCUGUGGCCAAUGAUCCAAAUGUUUAAACCCAGGAACCUAAGAUGAACAGCAAAAAUCAGGCACAGGAAAACUUAACCACGCAGUCUGAUGCAUCCUUUAUAAGCCUCUGAUGUCCAGCGUUCCAUUUUUAAAAAAAAUAUUAUUCUGUCCAAAGAUUUUUGAAGGCUUAGCACUUGUAUCUGAAAUCUUUCCUAUCAAAUUUCUCUUUCUGUUACCAUGAGGAACUGCAUGGAAUUCCUUCUCAUUUCCAAUAUAGUGUAACAACCAUUUCACAAGAAGGUUGUAGCAGUGUAAUAACUGUGCCUUCUGAAGUUGCCUGUACUUGAACCAGUUUUGAUUUUAUGGUAACAUUUUCUCAACUCUGGGUCCUUUCUUUGCCUUAGUUGGGCACCACAGUUGAUCCAAGAUUAUUGAUCACAGUGCCAAUUGGGUUUUUUUCCCCUGAGGAGAACCUUUGAAUGGAUACAGGAAGACAUCACCACCAAGAGGCUUGCAUGGCGGAUCAUUUACAAUCUUCUGAUAAUCAGGAUGAGUUAGAAUAUGAAGGGCUUUUUCUGUUGGAAUGUUCAGGGGGGCAGGAGAGGAUAUAUUUUUUAAUUAUAUCCUUCCCAACUUGUGUUAACAAGUUCUAUAAUUUAGCAGAGUAGCAUUCCCCUUUUAAAUUUGCACAGCAGAUAAUGUCCAUGCCAGGCUUGCAUAAGCUUCUAAAAUAAGUUUCCUGGUAAUUACCUUUUAUUCCCUCUUAAAAGAAUAGACACGACAGUCUUGUAUAAAAGUAUAUAAAAUAGUUUACUCAAAUUCUGUUCUCAGAAGGAUCCCAGAAGGCAGACUUAAGUUGCUAUAUAUAUACACCUGGAAUCUAUCCCAUAAGGAGAUAGUUCCUUUGUCCUCUCGAAGCCAAGAGAGCAUCUCAGGCUAAGGAGAUGACGCCUAGUGUCCUUUACUGGGGAUAGCCCCCUGUUUAUUAUGCAUUGCCUGAAGCCGGGUAAGGGCCCCCUUCCCCUGUUGAUCGGUUUUGAGUGACGGACAUGCAGAACUAAAUCGAGCAGGAUAAGGUCAGGAUUCCCAGGCCGCAGAAUCCGGCUGGCCCUCGCAAACCACCUCACCAAUGCGCAAAGCGCCAAAGGCAAUGGAGUAAGCGGCAGAAAAUAAUUGUGCCUCAGAUUUGUGUGUGUCUGUGUCAUGCUUGUGCUACAUUCAUUGUGAGUGUCAACUCAUGGUGUGGGGGUGCUCCAGACCCCUCCCCACCAUGUUCGAUGUCAGAAUUACUGUAACCUUUAGCGGCUUCUUAGCAUUUUCUUAAAGCUACAGGUUUCUUAAAGUUACAGGCUUCUAUAAGUUCCUUUUCCCAGUCAUGUGAUGGCACAACGGCACUUUCUCACCCUAGCGCCAUUGAGCCAGCCCUCAAUUAAAUUUAGUGCAACCACCUCACGGUACACCAGUUAGACGAAUUUCUACAUUUUACCCCAAAUUGUGGGAGACUUCUGUGAGGGAAAACUUAAUGAUUUAGAGUGUCAGGCAGGAGUUGACCAAACAAACAUGAAAAGUUUUUAUUAAACAAAGGCAGUUUAUGACACAAAGUGGGUCAGGAAACGAGUUCUUCAGGUAGAAUUUAACUUACUUUAUAAGAUGUCUCAGGCUUAAACACAUAAUUAUAGGUACAACUCUUCUUAAACUUCAGUUACUAAACAUUGGUUAGCACACCGGGUAGAUAAAUAUUCAGGUUUCCAGAAAAAAUGUUAAAAUGUUCAAAUCAGUGUCUAUCGCAGCUUGAUGCUUUGGUUCAUGAGUAAGGGGCAUUUUUCUUCAGUUACUCCCUCUCUUAACAAUCCCAUAACUGAGGUAUUAUAAAUGGUAUUACAGACCCAGGGGAUCCCCUCUCCCCUUGUUACUGGGUUGGGAGUCUUCAGUACCUAGAAGAAUUCUCCCUGGCUAGACUGAAACCCAGGGAGCCAGAAUUCCCUCAGGAUCUCUCUCUCCUGGUUCAGACUCAGCCCUCCCAGCACACUCCUGUCUGGAUCUCUUCCCCAGACUCUCAGCCUGGUCUCCCUAUCCCAGCUGUGAGGCUCUGUCCUCUUCCUAUGGAUAGUCUCCUGAGUGUGUAUCUCCUUUCCCUCUCAGAACCCCUUCACCCACUCUCCCAACCAGAAACUUGUCUUAACCUCUCCAAACCAAUCAUAUCCCUUCCCUGGAACUCUGGCCAAUCAGACCCUAUUGCCAGUCAAUCAUUUGCUGGCAGGAAAAAAACCACUUGGUGACCCAAACUGCCCAGCAAACAAACUUUUCCGUCACAGGCCUUGGGUGUCAAGGACCUUUGUGGGCUCGAUAGAGGAGUCUAGCUUUUCAAGGAUAACAUGAAAGACAGCCGAGGACAGAGGAGAACAGAGGAGAACAGUCAACCUGUGGACAUCAGGAGGACUGCUCCAACCCCAAACAGUUGGCACAGGGUUGGAUCGCAACAGGAAUUGGCAAUUCCAUGUCAAAUACCCAUGCAAGCUUUCCUUCCACCCAAAAUCAUAUCCCUAGACCUUCUGCCCACCUCACAACUGGAUAUCUCAUGCAGCUUCUCAAUCUCCACAAUUAAGUAUGGCAGCCAUACUUGUUGAAUAUUUUAAGGAUCUUCAUGCCUCUACAGUCUCUAAAGUGGAAUAUUGGCAUGCCAAAUAGUUAAACAAAGCUCAUGCUUACGUUCAGGAUUGGGAAUCUUCAUUGCAUAGACUAGCUGCAAAGGGAUGCUGCUGGUCAGCUGAUUUCUGUGUCUCAUGUUUUCAGUGGCAGUGUAACAUCUCGGCUUCUGUGGGAGGAAGCAGCAUAUCAGAAUCACGGGGCUGGUCUGGACCAAGGAGGCAGAGCACAGCUUGUGGCAAACCCCCUCAGUGAAGAUGUGUCAUAGAGCUCUGUUGUCCUUAUUUAUGCCAAAGGCACAAGGCCGCCUGUGAGAUCAUCGUGGGCUCUCUGAAAUGUGCCCUCUUUCCAUGAUGUUCAGAGAGAACCAAGGAGCGGAAUUUAAAAGUUAAUUCUCCUUGGACAUCAGGACACAACAGGCUUAAUUUUUUUUUUUAUUGAAUGUUACAAAAAAAAAUGAAUAGAAAAAAAGAAAUAGAAACAAUACAUAACCAUACAUAAAAACAUUUUAUCUACACAAUUUUCCAGAAUGC
This is a non-coding RNA of Podarcis lilfordi (Lilford's wall lizard), 11918 nucleotides long. The record is from the annotation of a GenBank genome assembly. NCBI's taxonomy places the organism in Eukaryota, Metazoa, Chordata, Lepidosauria, Squamata, Lacertidae.